Molecule: ribosomal RNA, 465 nt
Filed under: uncultured bacterium
Lineage: Bacteria
Description: partial 16S ribosomal RNA
Rfam family: Bacterial small subunit ribosomal RNA
Source: RNAcentral
CUACGGGUCGCAGCAGUGGGGAAUAUUGCACAAUGGGCGCAAGCCUGAUGCUGCCAUGCCGCGUGUAUGAAGAAGGCCUUCGGGUUGUAAAGUACUUUCAGCGGGGAGGAAGGGAGUAAAGUUAAUACCUUUGCUCAUUGACGUUACCCGCAGAAGAAGCACCGGCUAACUCCGUGCCAGCGAGCCGCGGUAAUACGGGGGGUGCAAGCGUUAAUCGGAAUUACUGGGCGUAAAGCGCACGCAGGCGGUUUGUUAAGUCAGAUGUGAAAUCCCCGGGCUCAACCUGGGAACUGCAUCUGAUACUGGCAAGCUUGAGUCUCGUAGAGGGGGGUAGAAUUCCAGGUGUAGCGGUGAAAUGCGUAGAGAUCUGGAGGAAUACCGGUGGCGAAGGCGGCCCCCUGGACGAAGACUGACGCUCAGGUGCGAAAGCGUGGGGAGCAAACAGGAUUAGAUACCCCGGUAGUC